RNAcentral lists this small nuclear RNA (104 nucleotides) under Marmota monax (woodchuck). The record is from RNAcentral. Lineage: Eukaryota; Metazoa; Chordata; Mammalia; Rodentia; Sciuridae.
GUGCUUACUUAGGCAGUACACAUACUAAAACUGGAACAAUACAGAGAAGAUGAGCAUCUCAAAUUGAGAUGUGCUAUAAUAUAAAAGAGAUGCUGGAUUUCAAU